RNAcentral lists this ribosomal RNA (497 nucleotides) under uncultured bacterium. Its description in RNAcentral is "partial 16S ribosomal RNA". It matches the Rfam family "Bacterial small subunit ribosomal RNA", at positions 28 to 507 of the family's 1533-position model. The record is from RNAcentral.
GACGAACGCUGGCGGCGUGCCUAAUACAUGCAAGUUGAGCGCUGAAGGUUGGUACUUGUACCAACUGGAUGAGCAGCGAACGGGUGAGUAACGCGUGGGUAAUCUGCCUUUGAGCGGGGGACAACAUUUGGAAACGAAUGCUAAUACCGCAUAAAAACUUUAAACACAAGUUUUAAGUUUGAAAGAUGCAAUUGCAUCACUCAAAGAUGAUCCCGCGUUGUAUUAGCUAGUUGGUGAGGUAAAGGCUCACCAAGGCGAUGAUACAUAGCCGACCUGAGAGGGGGAUCGGCCACAUUGGGACUGAGACACGGCCCAAACGCCUACGGGAGGCAGCAGUAGGGAAUCUUCGGCAAUGGACGAAAGUCUGACCGAGCAACGCCGCGUGAGGGAAGAAGGGUUUCGGAUCGUAAAACUCUGUUGGUAGAGAAGAACGUUGGUGAGAGUGGAAAGCUCAUCAAGUGACGGUAACUACGCAGAAAGGGACGGCUAACUACGUG